Molecule: ribosomal RNA, 459 nt
Filed under: uncultured bacterium
Lineage: Bacteria
Description: partial 16S ribosomal RNA
Rfam family: Bacterial small subunit ribosomal RNA
Source: RNAcentral
CCUACGGGCGGCAGCAGUGAGGAAUAUUGGUCAAUGGACGGAAGUCUGAACCAGCCAUGCCGCGUGCAGGAUGACGGCUCUAUGAGUUGUAAACUGCUUUUGUAUUAGGGUAAACACCCCUACGUGUAGGGGCUUGAAAGUAUAAUACGAAAAAGCAUCGGCUAACUCCGUGCCAGCAGCCGCGGUAAUACGGAGGAUGCGAGCGUUAUCCGGAUUUAUUGGGUUUAAAGGGUGCGCAGGCGGCGUGUCAAGUCAGCGGUAAAAUGUCGGGGCUCAACCCCGGCCGGCCGUUGAAACUGGCGUGCUCGAGUUGGAGAGAAGUAUGCGGAAUUCGUGGUGUAGCGGUGAAAUGCAUAGAUAUCACGAAGAACCCCGAUUGCGAAGGCAGCAUACCGGCUCCACACUGACGCUGAGGCACGAAAGCGUGGGUAUCGAACAGGAUUAGAUACCCGGGUAGUC